ACCCUCCAGAUUCCUUACCCCUCAGAUCUAAAUAUUGGUCUGAGCGGCUAUAAAAGGAGGGAAAGUAUAACUGAAGUGGACUUGGAAUCUUUAAUGAUGCACAAGUUCAUUUCAAACAUAA
This is a small nucleolar RNA of Echinops telfairi (small Madagascar hedgehog), 121 nucleotides long. Lineage: Eukaryota; Metazoa; Chordata; Mammalia; Afrosoricida; Tenrecidae. The record is from Ensembl.